UUUGCGAAUCCUGAAACUAAAUGCAACCUUCCAGCCCACCAAGUUAGGGCAGAAGACAGGGCUUAACACGUCUAAGGCUAUAACAGCAAGGCAGACGGGAAUUCCCCAUACAACAUCAAUGACAGGCUGCAAUAAACAUCAACAACAAAACAACACAACCAGUAUUUUCGGGAGAAGAUACCUCGACCUCAGAUCAUUUGGGAAGCAUCUUAACACAGAGUGCCAGACCCAGCUAAGAAAACCAGGUGUUUGUUCAGCAGAAGUGUGUGAGAAGCGAUGCGAGUCGAGCCUGUGUAAAGGGAGAAACUCAUUAGACUAGCUGAAAGCACCACAGAAAGGAGCUUGCUGGAUUGAUUUGGCCGUUACGAGAAACCGCUGGCUUUUAUGUGGUUUAUAGGUGUUCUGCUUUCCACAGUUGAGACUCUAUUCUACUGUCCCGUCCGUUUUUCCUUUGGUCCUGCCCAUUUUUGACUAUGCCCCCACCCACUGCUGNUCUGUGACCUACACAAGGAAGUAUAGCUUUCAGCCUGGAAGAAGUUCCCCAUAUCUGUCUAUGAAUGAGAGAAGGAAAAAAAUUACAGAUAGUUAUUCUUCAUUGCAACAGGAUGUCUGCUUCAAAAUUAAUAUUGCUAUCUAUCGCUUCAAUUAUCUAAGAAACAAUGCCAAGUAUUAAUUGAAUGGGUCU
This 685-nucleotide long non-coding RNA is filed under the name Salvator merianae (Argentine black and white tegu). RNAcentral describes it as "lncRNA (ENSSMRG00000012774.1)". Lineage: Eukaryota; Metazoa; Chordata; Lepidosauria; Squamata; Teiidae. The record is from RNAcentral.